This 253-nucleotide ribosomal RNA is filed under the name uncultured bacterium. RNAcentral's name for it is "partial 16S ribosomal RNA". It matches the Rfam family "Bacterial small subunit ribosomal RNA", at positions 524 to 776 of the family's 1533-position model. The record is from RNAcentral.
UACAGAGGGCGCGAGCGUUGUCCGGAAUUACUGGGCGUAAAGCGCACGUAGGCGGCUUUGUAAGUUAGAGGUGAAAGCCCGGGGCUCAACUCCGGAAUUGCCUUUAAGACUGCAUCGCUAGAAUUGUGGAGAGGUAAGUGGAAUUCCGAGUGUAGAGGUGAAAUUCGUAGAUAUUCGGAAGAACACCAGUGGCGAAGGCGACUUACUGGACACAUAUUGACGCUGAGGUGCGAAAGCGUGGGGAGCAAACAGG